ACUUUUUUUUGUAUUGAUUAGCAUCUGUAAUUGAUUCGUUGUUAAGCUUAUGACGUGGUGCCUUUUGAUUGGUUUUCGAAUAACUGGUUAUAAAAAAAAAUGACAUAGAACUUGCUCAUAUAGAAGUUUGGCACCUUAGGAGAAACACUGGGUGUGUCUCAUUCCGCCUACUUCCGUCAGUGCACUGCUGAUGUGCACUGACCACUUACUGCCGUAGUGCCCACUUUUGACCGUUAGUAGUGUUCCAAAUGGAACACUUAUGUUAAAACACUUACCGGAAAUGACGGCAUGACGUGACGAACGCAACACACGUGACCGCGAAUUUUUCAGACGGCCAAAAAGACCGCCAAAAAUAUAUGCCGGCGUUUUAUUUUAUAAAAACAAUGGGUUACGUUCACAGCAUGUUGAAAUUAUAUCGCCUCCGACGUCAACACAGGAUCCUCCAAAUAUUGGCUGAACAUGAGCGUCCUCUCAACCCCAGAAAGUACUGCCAAAUAAAUGCCACAGUGCCAGUGUUGGCACUAUACUUUGAUGGCCACAGCGACAUGAGGGUUGACUAUCGCCUUUCAAGGGUGUCAUUCAACGCACUCAUGGAUCUGUUGGGCAGGGAAUGCGACCAUGGCUGGGGCCCAGAAAUCGACACCCUGAUCUUUCUUUUCUGGCUUGCCACUCCCUCCUCCUACCGUGUUGUUGCCAGGGCCUUUGCCAUGCCCCGGGCAACUAUUCACCGGGUAGUCCACAGGGUGAGUGGGAAGAUCGCCGCUCUUCUUUAUCGGGUGGUCUGACAUCCCACCGCAGAAGAGCUCCCUAGCCUCGGGGGUAGCUUUGCCCGUCUGGGCAGAUCCGCAGCCUUCAACCUUGUGGUUGGUGCCAUCGAUGGCUGUCACGUCAGGGUGAAGCCCCCAGCACAAGAUGCUGCCUGUUAUUUUAACAGGAAGCUCUUUUAUUCCAUCCAGCUGCAGGCCAUCUGUGAUAACGUGGGGAAGUUCCUCGAUGUGUUCGUGGGGUCAGGAGGGCACGAAGACCAGCACAAGCACCUCCAGGAGCCGUCUCUGGUGCAGAGCAGAGACAGAGGAUGGCAAUGGCAUGUUAUGUCCCUGACCAUGAUUACAUUUAAAAAUGUAAAAUGCAUGAUUGAAUAAAUUACAUGACCAUUGUAUGAUUGUGUUGAUUUCAUCUGGCAUGUUAAAAAACAAAACAAA
Molecule: long non-coding RNA, 1202 nt
Organism: Fundulus heteroclitus (mummichog)
Lineage: Eukaryota; Metazoa; Chordata; Actinopteri; Cyprinodontiformes; Fundulidae
Exons: 2
Source: RefSeq, a predicted model, not a curated record